This 780-nucleotide ribosomal RNA is filed under the name uncultured bacterium. RNAcentral's name for it is "bacterial SSU rRNA". It matches the Rfam family "Bacterial small subunit ribosomal RNA", at positions 60 to 834 of the family's 1533-position model. The record is from RNAcentral.
AGUCGAGCGGGGAAGGGUAGCUUGCUACCUGACCUAGCGGCGGACGGGUGAGUAAUGCUUAGGAAUCUGCCUAUUAGUGGGGGACAACAUUCCGAAAGGAAUGCUAAUACCGCAUACGCCCUACGGGGGAAAGCAGGGGAUCUUCGGACCUUGCGCUAAUAGAUGAGCCUAAGUCAGAUUAGCUAGUUGGUGGGGUAAAGGCCUACCAAGGCGACGAUCUGUAGCGGGUCUGAGAGGAUGAUCCGCCACACUGGGACUGAGACACGGCCCAGACUCCUACGGGAGGCAGCAGUGGGGAAUAUUGGACAAUGGGCGCAAGCCUGAUCCAGCCAUGCCGCGUGUGUGAAGAAGGCCUUUUGGUUGUAAAGCACUUUAAGCGAGGAGGAGGCUACUGGUAUUAAUACUACCGGAUAGUGGACGUUACUCGCAGAAUAAGCACCGGCUAACUCUGUGCCAGCAGCCGCGGUAAUACAGAGGGUGCGAGCGUUAAUCGGAUUUACUGGGCGUAAAGCGUGCGUAGGCGGCUUUUUAAGUCGGAUGUGAAAUCCCUGAGCUUAACUUAGGAAUUGCAUUCGAUACUGGGAAGCUAGAGUAUGGGAGAGGAUGGUAGAAUUCCAGGUGUAGCGGUGAAAUGCGUAGAGAUCUGGAGGAAUACCGAUGGCGAAGGCAGCCAUCUGGCCUAAUACUGACGCUGAGGUACGAAAGCAUGGGGAGCAAACAGGAUUAGAUACCCUGGUAGUCCAUGCCGUAAACGAUGUCUACUAGCCGUUGGGGCCUUUG